This 73-nucleotide transfer RNA is filed under the name Schizosaccharomyces japonicus yFS275. RNAcentral's name for it is "tRNA-Undet for anticodon ???". It matches the Rfam family "tRNA". From Rfam's summary of the family: Transfer RNA (tRNA) molecules are approximately 80 nucleotides in length. Their secondary structure includes four short double-helical elements and three loops (D, anti-codon, and T loops). Further hydrogen bonds mediate the characteristic L-shaped molecular structure. tRNAs have two regions of fundamental functional importance: the anti-codon, which is responsible for specific mRNA codon recognition, and the 3' end, to which the tRNAs corresponding amino acid is attached (by aminoacyl-tRNA synthetases). tRNAs cope with the degeneracy of the genetic code in two manners: having more than one tRNA (with a specific anti-codon) for a particular amino acid; and 'wobble' base-pairing, i.e. permitting non-standard base-pairing at the 3rd anti-codon position. Lineage: Eukaryota; Fungi; Ascomycota; Schizosaccharomycetes; Schizosaccharomycetales; Schizosaccharomycetaceae. The record is from Rfam by way of RNAcentral.
GGGUCGGUAGCAUAGUUGGUUAUUGCGCACGACUGUUAAGGUGAGGUCGAGGGUUCGAGUCCUCCCUGACCGG